Molecule: ribosomal RNA, 534 nt
Filed under: Elaphe taeniura (beauty snake)
Lineage: Eukaryota; Metazoa; Chordata; Lepidosauria; Squamata; Colubridae
Description: partial 16S ribosomal RNA
Rfam family: Bacterial large subunit ribosomal RNA
Source: RNAcentral
UUAUCAAAAACAUAACCUUUAGCCUAACAAAUAUUAAAGGCAACGCCUGCCCAGUGAACAAUUAAACGGCCGCGGUACCCUAACCGUGCAAAGGUAGCGUAAUCAUUUGUCUACUAAUUAUAGACCUGUAUGAAAGGCAAAAUGAGGGUCCAACUGUCUCUUAUAAUAAAUCAAUUAAACUGAUCUCCUAGUAAAAAAGCUAGAAUGACAACAUAAGACGAGAAGACCCUGUGAAGCUUAAACUAAACUAUUAAAACACAUAAUAGCUACUUUCGGUUGGGGCGACCUUGGAAAAAAAAAGAACUUCCAAACACCAUGACUUUACCUCAUACCACAAAACUAGGCCAACAAGCCAACAAAUGACCCAGCACUGCUGAUAGUUGAACCAAGUUACUCCAGGGAUAACAGCGCAAUCUUCUUCAAGAGCUCAUAUCAAAAAGAAGGUUUACGACCUCGAUGUUGGAUCAGGACAUCCUAAUGGUGCAGCCGCUAUUAAGGGUUCGUUUGUUCAACGAUUAAUAGUCCUACGUGAUC